Molecule: ribosomal RNA, 460 nt
Filed under: uncultured bacterium
Lineage: Bacteria
Description: partial 16S ribosomal RNA
Rfam family: Bacterial small subunit ribosomal RNA
Source: RNAcentral
CCUACGGUAGGCAGCAGUGAGGAAUAUUGGUCACUGGACGAGAGUCUGAACCAGCCAAGUAGCGUGAAGUAUGACUGCCCUAUGGGUUGUAAACUUCUUUUAUAUGGGAAUAAAAUGUUCCACGUGUGGGAUUUUGUAUGUACCAUAUGAAUAAGGAUCGGCUAACUCCUGGCCAGCAGCCGCGAUAAUACGGAGGAUCCGAUCGUUAUCCGGAUUUAUUGGGUUUAAAGGGAGCGUAGGUGGAUUGUUAAGUCAGUUGUGAAAGUUUGCGGCUCAACCGUAAAAUUGCAGUUGACACUGGCAGUCUUGAGUACAGUAGAGGUGGGCGGAAUUCGUGGUGUAGCGGUGAAAUGCUUAGAUAUCACGAAGAACUCCGAUUGCGAAGGCAGUUCACUGGACUGCAACUGACACUGAGGCUCGAAAGUGUGGGUAUCAAACAGGAUUAGAUACCCCUGUAGUC